This 24-nucleotide non-coding RNA is filed under the name Arabidopsis thaliana (thale cress). Lineage: Eukaryota; Viridiplantae; Streptophyta; Magnoliopsida; Brassicales; Brassicaceae. The record is from RNAcentral.
UCGAGAACCAACAUCGCGGAGCCU